GGAGGGUUCGCAUAGUGGUCUAGUGCACCGCCUUGGAAAGGCGGCAUACCGCAAGGUAUCGAGAGUUCGAAUCUCUCACCCUCCG
RNAcentral lists this transfer RNA (85 nucleotides) under Minisyncoccota bacterium. RNAcentral's name for it is "tRNA-Ser". It matches the Rfam family "tRNA". From Rfam's summary of the family: Transfer RNA (tRNA) molecules are approximately 80 nucleotides in length. Their secondary structure includes four short double-helical elements and three loops (D, anti-codon, and T loops). Lineage: Bacteria; Bacillati; Minisyncoccota. The record is from RNAcentral.